This 371-nucleotide ribosomal RNA is filed under the name uncultured bacterium. RNAcentral describes it as "bacterial SSU rRNA". It matches the Rfam family "Bacterial small subunit ribosomal RNA", at positions 527 to 896 of the family's 1533-position model. The record is from RNAcentral.
GAAGGGUGCAAGCGUUACUCGAAAUUACUGGGCGUAAAGCGUGCGUAGGUAGUUCGUUAAGUCUGCCGUGAAAGCCCCGGGCUCAACCUGGGAAUGGCGGUGGAUACUGGCGGACUAGAGUGCGGUAGAGGGUGGUGGAAUUCCCGGUGUAGCAGUGAAAUGCGUAGAGAUCGGGAGGAACAUCUGUGGCGAAGGCGGCCACCUGGACCAGCACUGACACUGAGGCACGAAAGCGUGGGGAGCAAACAGGAUUAGAUACCCUGGUAGUCCACGCCCUAAACGAUGCGAACUGGACGUUGGGCUCAAUUGAGAGCUCAGUGUCGAAGCUAACGCGUUAAGUUCGCCGCCUGGGGAGUACGAUCGCAAGACUG